This 1021-nucleotide long non-coding RNA is filed under the name Salvia miltiorrhiza (redroot sage). RNAcentral describes it as "long non-coding RNA (SMIL_LNC002580)". Lineage: Eukaryota; Viridiplantae; Streptophyta; Magnoliopsida; Lamiales; Lamiaceae. The record is from RNAcentral.
GGUGACAAUAAUAUACUACAAGAUUAGUGAAAUAUCAAUAUAUGUAGAGGCUCAAAAUAAAAUAAAAGUAACCUAACUUACAUGUAGAAUAGAACAAUUAAUACUGACUAUAUAUUAAAUAAGUUAUAUUCAAUUAAUCAAUUAAAAUAAGUUUAAAUUAAAACUCUAGGCCCAUUCCUCCAAUCAUACUUCAUUACCAUCACCUGCACUCAUAAGCAAGCCCAACCAUACAUUAUUAUUUUCAAUUAAAAAUAGAGCCCUAGUCAAAAUCUACACAAUUAAUAUACUCCAUAUGCGUUCUCUCUUAUGCACACUUGCACCCACAAUUUUCUCUCUCUACCCUGUAACUCUUUCUCUCUCUCGCUACUCUCUGUCACACCUUCAUCUCUCUCUUUACUUCACAUUUGCAAUAAAGAGUAAAUCUCAACCCCAAAUCCCUCUUCUUCUUCUUCUCUCUUCCCUUUUUCUUAAUUCCAAUGAAUAACCAGAAACACAGCUUGUUCUCUCGUAGACCUCACUGUCGUUCCCCAUCGUCGACUCACUCUUCUCACCUCGGCCCGACUAACGACACAAGAAACUGAGCCACAACUCAGCUAAAGCCGAUGCCGACGUCGACAGCGGCCAGUACUCUCAAUGCAGACAACGACACAAGAAAUUGAGCCACAAGUCAGCUAAAACUCAGCCAAGACUCUCUGUUCCCGAUCGGUGCCCUCAAAGCAAACAACAAAGCAAGAAACCCAACCACAAGACUGUAAUUCGAUUGUGUUAUGCUGAGCUCUGUUUUUUGUAAAAAUUCUAGGGUUAUUUAAAAAAUUAAUGAUAAAAAGUAGGGUGCAGAAAUCAAACUCACCUCCUUGCUUUGUUGAUGUAGUGGAUUUGUGUAGUGUGAUUUUUUGUUGGAUUAUGAUCAGAUUAUCCACUUUCACCGGGCAAAGAUUGACAGGAAAUCUCGUUCUGUUUUUGGUGCGAAACUGUAAACAUAGAAAGUAAAAAGUGAAAGUGAAGAAGAAAAAUCUGCAGA